GGAAGCUUAAGUCCCAGGUGGGAAUGUAUGUGCUUACUCAAACAUGUCUGGGAACAACAUGUCUGGGAAAGAAUUGGGACAGGGAUCCUGCUCUUUUUUUUUUUUAACUUCAGAACCUGGGUACUUCAUCUUUGCAAUGAACUAGGAGGGCCCUAGCUAGUUAGUUCCAGGUCUGGGGCACUGGCCACGGGAAGCUGGUGGAAAGCUUCAGGGCCCUGCUUUAAGAGAGCUGAUCUUCUGGUGGCAAAGAGCACCACCUUUGUCAACCACCUCUUCCCAAAGAAGGCUGACUGUUAGGGCCGCUCUCAGAGGUGCAGGCCUCACCUGUAGAGGCCAAGGAGAGAUAGUGGUGGUGCCGGUGGUGGUGGUGGUGGGGUGUCAGAAGAAGACUUUCAACCCUGGAUCUAGCUGUGCUGGAAUUCAACCUGGGUUGUGUGCCCGAGGACGGAGAGGAGCUGAUGAAAGUACUCUGGGUGCUUGGAAUCAAGCCCUUUCUUUGUGAGAUUUUUGGGUACUCUGACGGUUGUCAUUUCAUUUCAUCUCCCCAAAGGUUGUGGGCAGACUAAAAGCUCGUAAGGUCACCAUGCCAGAGGCAGGGAAACAGACUCCCAGGUGCAUACCCAAGACUACAGAGUUAAAUCUGAGAUCCUAGUUCGAUUCCAGAAAAGAGUGUGAGCCAUCUCUCUCUCCCUCUCUUUACUUACUCAUCUAUUAUGUGAAAUAGAUAAAAAUAAAUCUUAAAAAAAAAAAAGACAAACAUAGAAUGGCUAUGUAUCAACUCCCUCAGAGGUCAAGUUCUAAGCUCCCUGAGCUGAGUCUCUGGGUUCCCGCAGCCCGCGUUCCCUCUCUCACCCCCACAUCUCGUCCUAACCCCACGAAGCGCCACCUGAAAACUACCAAGUGGGUUCUCUCGGGCGGCCGCGGGGAGUCAGGAGUUAAACCCCGGCCUGGUGGCCCCUUCCCCCACCCCAGCCCCCUCUCCUCCACCAGGCGCCGCGCCUGGAGCGUCGGUCCGGGAGACCCGCACGCCAGAGGCGGGGGGAGUGGGCCUGUCCCUCGAGCGGCCAAUCCCCCGCGCCCGCGGUGCCCGGGGGGAGGCGCCAGCGCCGGGCCAGCGCCAGGCCGGGCUGCUGCUUCCCGCGGCAAAGUACAAAUGCACCCGAGCGAGGCGCCUGGCGCCCUGGGCGAGCUCCGCCGGCCCCGCUCCUCCUGCCCCAGCGGCCGCCCCGCCGACGCCGCCCCCGGGCCCCGACGGCCCCAGCCGGAGCCCCGCGCCGCCGGCGCCCGCCGCCGCCAGCCCGCCCGAGAGCAACCCGCCGCUCCGCCGCGCCCCCGCACCGCCGCCAGCCCGCCCGCUCACCUCCUCCGCGCGGAGAGCGCCCCCUCCAGCCGCCCUCGCUCCCCGUGCUCCCCCUGUCCUUCCCCCUGUCCCCACCUCGGACCUCCCUCCCUGUCCUCUCCGCUGCGGCCGCAGCCCUCCCCGGCUCCGGGGGCCGGUUGGUGCCCCCGGCGCCCCGCGUCCUCCCCAGCUCACUCUCCCGGUCCCAGCGCGGCGCCUGGCGCGACUCCGGGGUGCAGGAUGGUGCCCGAGGUUCGGGUCCUCGCCUCCCUGCUGGGACUCGCGCUCCUCGGGCUGCCCUUGGACUCCCAUGCUCGAGCCCGUCCAGACAUGUUCUGCCUUUUCCAUGGGAAGAAAUAUGCCCCUGGUGAAAGCUGGCAUCCCUACCUGGAGCCCCAGGGCUUGAUGUACUGCCUCCGUUGUACGUGCUCUGAGAGUGCCCACGUGAGCUGUUACCGCCUCCACUGCCCUCCUGUCCACUGCCCCCAGCCUGUGACCGAGCCACAGCAGUGCUGUCCCCGAUGUAUGGAGCCUCACACCCCUUCUGGGCUCCGUGCCCCCCCAAAGUCCUGCCAGUACAAUGGGACCAUGUACCAACAUGGGGAGAUCUUCAGCACCCAGGAGCUGUUUCCCUCCCGCCUGCCCAACCAGUGUGUCCUCUGCAGCUGCACGGAGGGUCAGGUCUACUGCGGCCUCAUGACCUGCCCAGAGCCUGGCUGCCCUGCACCCCUGCCACUGCCUGCCUCCUGCUGCCAGGCCUGCAGAGAUGGAUCAGGGGAGAAGUCAGGAGAAGAGGACCCCACACAGACAUACCAUGGAGUGCCUGUGUGCACAGCGGGAAGACAUACUCCCACGGGGAGGUGUGGCACCCAGCCUUCCGCUCCUUUGGCCCCCUGCCCUGCAUCCUGUGCACCUGUCAGGACGGCCGCCAGGACUGCCAGCGGGUGAUCUGCCCCACCGAGUACCCCUGCCAACAGCCUGAGAAAGCGGCUGGGAAGUGCUGCAAGAUUUGUCCAGAGGACAAGGCAGAGCCUGGCCACAGGGAGGUCAGUGCCACCAGAUGCCCGAAGGUGCCAGGCCAGGUGCUCGUGCAUGCAUCGGUAUCCCCAGCCCCUAACAACCUGCGCCGCUUUGCCCUGGAACACGAGAGCUC
Molecule: RNA transcript, 2492 nt
Organism: Erinaceus europaeus (western European hedgehog)
Lineage: Eukaryota; Metazoa; Chordata; Mammalia; Eulipotyphla; Erinaceidae
Gene: CHRDL2
Gene name: chordin like 2
Exons: 8
Source: RefSeq, a predicted model, not a curated record